This 131-nucleotide ribosomal RNA is filed under the name Ramazzottius varieornatus. Its description in RNAcentral is "5.8S ribosomal RNA". It matches the Rfam family "5.8S ribosomal RNA". From Rfam's summary of the family: 5.8S ribosomal RNA (5.8S rRNA) is a component of the large subunit of the eukaryotic ribosome. It is transcribed by RNA polymerase I as part of the 45S precursor that also contains 18S and 28S rRNA. Functionally, it is thought that 5.8S rRNA may be involved in ribosome translocation. Lineage: Eukaryota; Metazoa; Tardigrada; Eutardigrada; Parachela; Ramazzottiidae. The record is from Rfam by way of RNAcentral.
CACUCUAUGCAGUGGAUGAUUCGACUCGUGGGUCGAUGGAGAACGCAGCCAUAUACGAGACGUGACGUGAAUUGCUGGACUUUGCGAACCGACCAUUCAAUAGUAUGGCUUUUGCUGUUCGUUUAGCACCA